CAAGCGGUGGAUGAUGUGGUUUAAUUCGAUGCAACGCGAAAAACCUUACCCACCUUUGACAUGUACGGAAUUUGCCAGAGAUGGCUUAGUGCUCGAAAGAGAGCCGUAACACAGGUGCUGCAUGGCUGUCGUCAGCUCGUGUCGUGAGAUGUUGGGUUAAGUCCCGCAACGAGCGCAACCCUUGUCAUUAGUUGCUACAUUUAGUUGGGCACUCUAAUGAGACUGCCGGUGACAAACCGGAGGAAGGUGGGGGUGACGUCAAGUCCUCAUGGCCCUUAUAGGUGGGGCUACACACGUCAUACAAUGGCUGGUACAAAGGGUUGCCAACCCGCGAGGGGGAGCUAAUCCCAUAAAACCAGUCGUAGUCCGGAUCGCAGUCUGCAACUCGACUGCGUGAAGUCGGAAUCGCUAGUAAUCGUGGAUCAGAAUGUCACGGUGAAUACGUUCCCGGGUCUUGUACACACC
This 465-nucleotide ribosomal RNA is filed under the name uncultured bacterium. RNAcentral's name for it is "bacterial SSU rRNA". It matches the Rfam family "Bacterial small subunit ribosomal RNA", at positions 926 to 1391 of the family's 1533-position model. The record is from RNAcentral.